Molecule: long non-coding RNA, 360 nt
Filed under: Phoenix dactylifera (date palm)
Lineage: Eukaryota; Viridiplantae; Streptophyta; Magnoliopsida; Arecales; Arecaceae
Description: long non-coding RNA (PDAC_LNC022569)
Source: RNAcentral
AAGCAUAAUAGAAUAAUUAUUUUAUCAUACAGCUAGUAGACCAGAUUGUAUGCUCAUUAUGUGACCGUGUGCAAGACUUCAAUCUAACUUUAAUUAAUUAUAUUUUAUUGAUAACAAAUAAAUCAUAAUCUGAAUUUUGAUAGAAACAAAUGUUUAAGAUAAAUUGAUUAAAACAUAAUUAACAUAUCUUAUUGAUAAUUAUCUUAAGCAAAUAGAAUCUAACUAAAUUGACUUGAACUAUCUUGGUUAAUGAAUCUAUCUCUUUAGUUCAAAUGAUAUGUGCUUGCUUAUAUUUAGGCAAUCUCUUGAGUAAAGUGACUCAACAUGCAACUAUUGUCAUAUCUCAUAUUGAGUCAUCUA